AGAGCAUAUAUCAUUGUCGUGUUGUUCGUCGGGAUUUGUGAGUUGUUCGUUGUUGAGAUUGGUGUCGACGAUGAUGGAGGGACAGUCCGGCGAGUUGUAGAAUUUUGGGGCUUCUUUGAAUUGGUUUAAAAUUAUAGUUGCGGUAGUGGUAGUAGUACUAUGGGUUGGGGCGGUGAAAGAGAGGAAAAGAAAGAAAGAAAUGUAGAGGAGGGGUGGGUUUGGCAUUGUGAACUUGAUUUGGAAAUGGUGGGAAGGGAAUGGGGUUUUAAUGUAAAGGGUGUGGG
RNAcentral lists this long non-coding RNA (284 nucleotides) under Panax ginseng (ginseng). RNAcentral's name for it is "long non-coding RNA (PGIN_LNC012013)". The record is from RNAcentral. Lineage: Eukaryota; Viridiplantae; Streptophyta; Magnoliopsida; Apiales; Araliaceae.